CAGGGAGACAACAAAAUGUUUAAUAUUAUUAUUUUGUCACCUUAGGUCGAUCGGUAUCUCACGUUUUUAAUUUAUUAAGAAUUUCAUUUCCUAAGUUUUUCUAGGUCACACCCAUUAUUUUUCCUGGGCCAUUAGCUCAGGUGGUUAGAGCGCACCCCUGAUAAGGGUGAGGUCCCUGGUUCAAGUCCAGGAUGGCCCAUAUCUCUAUGUUGGGGGUAUAGCUCAGUUGGUAGAGCGCCUGCUUUGCAAGCAGGAUGUCAGCGGUUCGAGUCCGCUUACCUCCACUGAUUACCACCUCUUCCAUAACCGGUAGAAAGGAAAUGUUUUGAGUUGUGAUCAAAUUCUUAAAGAAUCUAGCUUCCUAAUGAAAUCAUUAAGAUGCUGGACUCAUUGAAUUAAUUUCAUUGUUUUCAGAGAACCUUGACAACUGCAUAGAUUAUUUUUAAAGACAAUAGGCAUCUUUAAUGAUGCAGAUUUAUUAUUUGUGCGAAUGCAUUAAUAACAAUUCUAUUAAGCUGAUGCUUCAAUUUUUGAAGUUAUU
RNAcentral lists this transfer RNA (541 nucleotides) under uncultured cyanobacterium. RNAcentral describes it as "partial miscellaneous RNA". The stretch from base 212 to 284 matches the Rfam family "tRNA". The record is from RNAcentral. Lineage: Bacteria; Bacillati; Cyanobacteriota.